Molecule: ribosomal RNA, 119 nt
Filed under: Pteropus alecto (black flying fox)
Lineage: Eukaryota; Metazoa; Chordata; Mammalia; Chiroptera; Pteropodidae
Source: RNAcentral
GUCUACGGCCAUGCCACCCUGAACAAGCCCGAUUCCGUCUGAUCUUGGAAGCUAAGCCGGGUCGAGCCUGGUUAGUACUCGAAUGGGAGACCACGUAGGAAGACCAGGUGCUGUAGGUG